AUACGGAGGAUCCGAGCGUUAUCCGGAUUUAUUGGGUUUAAAGGGUGCGCAGGCGGGAGAUUAAGUCGGCGGUGAAAUUUUGCAGCUCAACUGUCAAAGUGCCUUUGAAACUGGUUUUCUUGAGUGUAGAUGAAGUAGGCGGAAUUUGUGGUGUUGCGGUGAAAUGCAUAGAUAUCACGAGGAACUCCGAUUGCGCAGGCAGCUUACUAAACUACUACUGACGCUCAGGCACGAAGGCGUGGGGAUCAAACAGGAUUAGAUACCCUGGUAGUCCACGCAGUAAACGAUGAUUACUAGCUGUUUGCGAUACAAUGUAAGCGGCUGAGCGAAAGCGUUAAGUAAUCCACCUGGGGAGUACGUUCGCAAGAAUGAAACUCAAAGGAAUUGGCGGGG
This 393-nucleotide ribosomal RNA is filed under the name uncultured bacterium. Its description in RNAcentral is "partial 16S ribosomal RNA". It matches the Rfam family "Bacterial small subunit ribosomal RNA", at positions 523 to 918 of the family's 1533-position model. The record is from RNAcentral.